This 226-nucleotide ribosomal RNA is filed under the name uncultured bacterium. Its description in RNAcentral is "partial 16S ribosomal RNA". It matches the Rfam family "Bacterial small subunit ribosomal RNA", at positions 943 to 1167 of the family's 1533-position model. The record is from RNAcentral.
GGAUUUAAUUCGAAGCAACGCGAAGAACCUUACCAAAUCUUGACAUCCUUUGACAACUCUAGAGAUAGAGCUUUCCCCUUCGGGGGACAAAGUGACAGGUGGUGCAUGGUUGUCGUCAGCUCGUGUCGUGAGAUGUUGGGUUAAGUCCCGCAACGAGCGCAACCCUUAAGCUUAGUUGCCAUCAUUAAGUUGGGCACUCUAAGUUGACUGCCGGUGACAAACCGGA